This 497-nucleotide ribosomal RNA is filed under the name uncultured bacterium. Its description in RNAcentral is "partial 16S ribosomal RNA". It matches the Rfam family "Bacterial small subunit ribosomal RNA", at positions 28 to 507 of the family's 1533-position model. The record is from RNAcentral.
GAUGAACGCUGGCGGCGUGCCUAAUACAUGCAAGUCGAGCGAACAGAUAAGGAGCUUGCUCCUUUGACGUUAGCGGCGGACGGGUGAGUAACACGUGGGUAACCUAUCUAUAAGACUGGAAUAACUCCGGGAAACCGGGUCUAAUGCCGGAUAACAUGUUGAACCGCAUGGUUCUACAGUGAAAGGCGGCUUUGCUGUCACUUAUAGAUGGACCCGCGCCGUAUUAGCUAGUUGGUGAGGUAACGGCUCACCAAGGCAACGAUACGUAGCCGACCUGAGAGGGUGAUCGGCCACACUGGAACUGAGACACGGUCCAGACUCCUACGGGAGGCAGCAGUAGGGAAUCUUCCGCAAUGGGCGAAAGCCUGACGGAGCAACGCCGCGUGAGUGAUGAAGGUCUUCGGAUCGUAAAACUCUGUUAUUAGGGAAGAACAAAUGCGUAAGUAACUGUGCGCGUCUUGACGGUACCUAAUCAGAAAGCCACGGCUAACUACGUG